Molecule: ribosomal RNA, 484 nt
Filed under: uncultured bacterium
Lineage: Bacteria
Description: partial 16S ribosomal RNA
Rfam family: Bacterial small subunit ribosomal RNA
Source: RNAcentral
GACGAACGCUGGCGGCGUGCUUAACACAUGCAAGUCGAACGAUGAACCCGGAGCUUGCUCCGGUGGAUUAGUGGCGAACGGGUGAGUAACACGUGAGUAACCUGCCCUUGACUCUGGGAUAACUGCGGGAAACUGUAGCUAAUACCGGAUACGACCCUCGGCGGCAUCGCCAGGGGGUGGAAAGAAUUUCGGUCAAGGAUGGACUCGCGGCCUAUCAGCUAGGUGGUGAGGUAACGGCUCACCAAGGCGACGACGGGGAGCCGGCCAGAGGGGGUGACCGGCCACACUGGGACUGAGACACGGCCCAGACUCCUACGGCAGGCAGCAGUGGGGAAUAUUGCACAAUGGGUGCAAGCCUGAUUCAGCAACGCCGCGUGAGGGAUGACGGCCUUCGGGUUGUAAACCUCUUUUAGUAGGGAAGAAGCGAAAGUGACGGUACCUGCAGAAAAAGCACCGGCUAACUACGUGCCAGCCGCCGCGGUAA